RNAcentral lists this ribosomal RNA (217 nucleotides) under uncultured fungus. RNAcentral describes it as "partial small subunit ribosomal RNA". It matches the Rfam family "Eukaryotic small subunit ribosomal RNA", at positions 660 to 864 of the family's 1831-position model. The record is from RNAcentral. Lineage: Eukaryota; Fungi.
GGCCUAGCCUAGUGGUCUGCCUUUUUGGUAUGUACUGCUUGGGCGGGUCUUUCUCUUCUGGCAAGCCAGUAUGCACUUUAUUGUGGGUGCUGAGGAGCCAGGUUUUUACCUUGAAAAAAUUAGAGUGUUUAAAGCAGGCAAAAAUAGCUUGAAUAUAUUAGCAUGGAAUAAUAAAAUAGGCUUUUGUUCUAUUUUGUUGGUUUCUAGGACUAAAGUC